AUUAAAAGAAAACGAAAAAGGAAAAAGAAGUCGUCGCGUUCUCUUUUUCCUUGAUAAAUUUGAUUGGGUUCUAGGGUUCCUCCCUCUCUUUUACUGUCUAAUUAUUUAUACUUGGUAGUAGCUUAGAAAAAUAAUAGGGAGUCAAGAGGUUGGAGGUUCGUUUGUUAAACAGAGUGCUGGGGAUUUCAAAUGCCGGAGGAGGACUUAAUUGAACUCAAAUUUCGGUUGUAUGAUGGAUCAGAUAUUGGUCCUUUUCAAUACGCACCCACUUCCACCAUAGCUAUCCUCAAAGAGAGGAUUGUCGCCGACUGGCCCAAAGAUAAAAAAGUUGCACCUAAGGUGGCAAAUGAUGUAAAAUUGAUAUGUGCUGGUAAAAUUUUGGAAAACAGCAGGACUGUUGGUCAAUGCAAGACACCUUUUGGUGAGCUACCAAAUGGAAUAAUUACCAUGCAUGCUGUUGUACAACCAUCUUUAGCUAAAGCAAAGUCAGAAAAGAAGAUUGACGAGAACCAAAAUCAAAGCAUCUGUUCGUGCUCCAUAUUGUGAGAUUGCAAGUGAUUCAGUUUGAUCUUGUGGUAUCCUUGGGUUACCUGCUCUGUGAAGUUAAGUCUGGACUCUGGAGCAAUAAUUUGUAUGAUACCUCAUUAUUACAUGUUUGUUGAAAAGCAUUUGUAACUAUUGCAUGCUCGUAUAAUCACGUUUGUUGUAUAAAGUUUGUAUCUUUAUACUUGUAGUCACAGAUUUCUCAUAUAAAAAUUACAGAGAAGGCUGGAGAUAUGCAGAAGGAUAUUUAGCUGUAACUAUUUUUUUUAUAAUAUACUAAUCCGU
This 828-nucleotide unclassified non-coding RNA is filed under the name Hevea brasiliensis (rubber tree). The record is from RNAcentral. Lineage: Eukaryota; Viridiplantae; Streptophyta; Magnoliopsida; Malpighiales; Euphorbiaceae.